UGGGGAAUAUUGGACAAUGGGGGCAACCCUGAUCCAGCAAUGCCGCGUGUGUGAAGAAGGCCUUCGGGUUGUAAAGCACUUUCGAUGGGGAAAAACAAGCCAGACCUAACACGUCUGGCCCUGAUGGUACCCAGAGAAGAAGCACCGGCUAACUCUGUGCCAGCAGCCGCGGUAAUACAGAGGGUGCAAGCGUUAAUCGGAAUUACUGGGCGUAAAGGGUGCGUAGGUGGUUUGUUAAGUCAGGCGUGAAAUCCCUGGGCUCAACCUGGGAACUGCGUUUGAUACUGGCAGACUCGAGUCUGGUAGAGGGUAGUGGAAUUCCGCAUGUAGCGGUGAAAUGCGUAGAUAUGCGGAGGAACAUCAGUGGCGAAGGCGGCUACCUGGACCAAGACUGACACUGAGGCACGAAAGCGUGGGGAUCAAACAGGAUUAGAUACCCUGGUAGUCCACGCCCUAAACGAUGGGUACUAGACGUUGGGAGGUUUAUCCUCUUGGUGUCGCAGCUAACGCAAUAAGUACCCCGCCUGGGGAGUACGGUCGCAAGAUUA
Molecule: ribosomal RNA, 548 nt
Filed under: uncultured bacterium
Lineage: Bacteria
Description: bacterial SSU rRNA
Rfam family: Bacterial small subunit ribosomal RNA
Source: RNAcentral